RNAcentral lists this ribosomal RNA (253 nucleotides) under uncultured bacterium. Its description in RNAcentral is "partial 16S ribosomal RNA". It matches the Rfam family "Bacterial small subunit ribosomal RNA", at positions 524 to 776 of the family's 1533-position model. The record is from RNAcentral.
UACGAAGGGGGCUAGCGUUGCUAGGAAUCACUGGGCGUAAAGCGCACGUAGGCGGCUUCUUAAGUCAGGGGUGAAAUCCUGGGGCUCAACCACAGAACUGCCCUUGAUACUGAGGAGCUUGAGUCCGGGAGAGGUGAGUGGAACUCCGAGUGUAGAGGUGAAAUUCGUAGAUAUUCGGAAGAACACCAGUGGCGAAGGCGGCUCACUGGCCCGGUACUGACGCUGAGGUGCGAAAGCGUGGGGAGCAUACAGG